Molecule: ribosomal RNA, 437 nt
Filed under: uncultured bacterium
Lineage: Bacteria
Description: bacterial SSU rRNA
Rfam family: Bacterial small subunit ribosomal RNA
Source: RNAcentral
UGAGGAAUAUUGGUCAAUGGGAGUAAUCCUGAACCAGCCAUGCCGCGUGCAGGACGACGGCUCUACGAGUUGUAAACUGCUUUUGUACCGGGGUAAAAUGCUCUACGAGUAGGGUUUUGAAAGUACGGUACGAAUAAGGAUCGGCUAACUCCGUGCCAGCAGCCGCGGUAAUACGGAGGAUCCGAGCGUUAUCCGGAUUCAUUGGGUUUAAAGGGUGCGUAGGUUGCUUUAUAAGUUAGCGGUGAAAUACCGAUGCUCAACAUCGGGGCUGCCGCUAAUACUGUAGGACUAGAGAUCGGAUGCAGCAGGCGGAAUGUGUAGUGUAGCGGUGAAAUGCAUAGAUAUUACACAGAACACCGAUUGCGAAGGCAGCUUUGCUAGGCCCGGAUCUGACACUGAUGCACGAAAGCGUGGGGAUCGAACAGGAUUAGAUACCC